ACUCACGUGGUGGAAUUGGUAGACACGCCAUCUUGAGGGGGUGGUGUCCAUACGGAUGUGCCGGUUCGAAUCCGGUCGUGAGUA
This is a transfer RNA of 84 nucleotides. It matches the Rfam family "tRNA". Rfam says of the family: Transfer RNA (tRNA) molecules are approximately 80 nucleotides in length. Their secondary structure includes four short double-helical elements and three loops (D, anti-codon, and T loops). Further hydrogen bonds mediate the characteristic L-shaped molecular structure. tRNAs have two regions of fundamental functional importance: the anti-codon, which is responsible for specific mRNA codon recognition, and the 3' end, to which the tRNAs corresponding amino acid is attached (by aminoacyl-tRNA synthetases). tRNAs cope with the degeneracy of the genetic code in two manners: having more than one tRNA (with a specific anti-codon) for a particular amino acid; and 'wobble' base-pairing, i.e. permitting non-standard base-pairing at the 3rd anti-codon position. The record is from Rfam.